GUUCCGGGACGGGAAGUAUAAC
Molecule: microRNA, 22 nt
Filed under: Heligmosomoides polygyrus
Lineage: Eukaryota; Metazoa; Nematoda; Chromadorea; Rhabditida; Heligmosomidae
Description: hpo-miR-10072b-3p
Source: miRBase by way of RNAcentral